AUUGAACGCUGGCGGCAUGCCUUACACAUGCAAGUCGAACGGCAGCGGGGGAGAAGCUUGCUUUUCCUGCCGGCGAGUGGCGAACGGGUGAGUAAUACAUCGGAACGUGCCCUGUAGUGGGGGAUAACUAGUCGAAAGAUUAGCUAAUACCGCAUACGACCUGAGGGUGAAAGUGGGGGACCGCAAGGCCUCAUGCUAUAGGAGCGGCCGAUGUCUGAUUAGCUAGUUGGUGGGGUAAAGGCCUACCAAGGCGACGAUCAGUAGCUGGUCUGAGAGGACGAGCGGCCACACUGGGACUGGGCCACGGCCCAGACUCCUACGGGAGGCAGCAGUGGGGAAUUUUGGACAAUGGGCGAAAGCCUGAUCCAGCAAUGCCGCGUGUGUGAAGAAGGCCUUCGGGUUGUAAAGCACUUUUGUCCGGAAAGAAAUGGCUCUGGUUAAUACCUGGGGUCGAUGACGGUACCGGAAGAAUAAGGACCGGCUAACUACGUGCCAGCCGCCGCGGUAA
This 508-nucleotide ribosomal RNA is filed under the name uncultured bacterium. RNAcentral's name for it is "partial 16S ribosomal RNA". It matches the Rfam family "Bacterial small subunit ribosomal RNA", at positions 30 to 523 of the family's 1533-position model. The record is from RNAcentral.